RNAcentral lists this long non-coding RNA (1155 nucleotides) under Podarcis lilfordi (Lilford's wall lizard). The record is from RNAcentral. Lineage: Eukaryota; Metazoa; Chordata; Lepidosauria; Squamata; Lacertidae.
CAAGUAAAUAAAGAAGAGUGUAUUUUAUUUCUUUCUUUUUUUCAAUUUUUUCAAAUUGAUUUUCCAAAGUUUUUAAAUAAAUAAACAAACAAACAUCUUAGUUGCACUUAAUCCAAUCUUAGUAACAUUAUUAAGUGACUUCCUCAAAUCCCCCGGCUGAAUUUCAGUGUAUAUCAUUGUAACAGUUUUCCAAAACAAAUUUCUCGUAAAAUUAACUUAAUCACUUAACAUCAUUCUUUCUUCUCAUUUGAAGAGUGUAUUUUAUUUCAGACACAAACAACGGCAUUCCAAACGUUGUUACUCUUUACUUUCUUAGUCUUAUUUUCCUCUCUAUCUCUUCUACCUCCCCUCACUCAAGAACCCACUGCCCUGUCUCUCUAUUUCCAACUGCCUGCCAACUGCUUUUCCAACUGCCUUUCCCAGCCAGCCAUCCCACUAAAACCAACCAACUACCCACCAACAACUCUAACAAACCUCGGGCGAAGCCCUUUUAUACACAUGUAGGCUCCGCCUCCAGCUUUCCUAUUGGUCUACAUUUUUAACCCUUUCUUUCCCCCCGUACAGACAGGCUCUAAACGAACGGGCAAACGCCACAGGUAUCUCUUAAAUACCCAGUCAAUCACUGCCCUCUUCAGGAGAGAGGCUCCUGCAGAUGCCAUCUCUUCAAGGGGUCUGUUCUAUACAAUAUAGGAAUCAAGUGUUUAGUGUGUAGUGACACACAUCCUUUCAAAUUAGAUACAAGCCACCUCUAUUGUAUGCUUUAAUUCUAGAAUGAUUGUCAAGCUGCAAGCGACCUUGAGGUCUAACUGCCUGCAAAGCAGGAAUCAUUGGGCACCUGAAGACCUUCCUUUUUCAACAAGAGAACUUUAUCCCAGUCUGCAUAAGCGCCAGAAUAGUUUUAAGAGGCUUUUGGAUGUUUCAAUUGGAUCACUUUAUGUGUUUUCUGCCUUGGUUCCCCCCCUCUUUUUCCUUUUUAGGAGGAAGAGCAAGAUAUAAAUGCAAUUAACAAAUAAAUAAUUUCAAUUUACGCGGGGCUGAUUCUGGGUCUGGUUCAGAGGCUGCAGUUAGCGCAGGAGGCCACGGCAAGCCUGCUUGUGGGGGGAGCUUGCCGUCAGCAGAAAACACCAGUGUAGAAAGCUCUGCACUGGCUGGCAG